RNAcentral lists this ribosomal RNA (322 nucleotides) under uncultured eukaryote. RNAcentral's name for it is "partial 18S ribosomal RNA". It matches the Rfam family "Eukaryotic small subunit ribosomal RNA", at positions 1470 to 1796 of the family's 1831-position model. The record is from RNAcentral.
CCCUUAGAUGUUCUGGGCCGCACGCGUGCUACACUGAGUGGAUCAGCGGGUCAGGUUGCGCGAAAGUGUUUCCUAAUCUUUAAAUCCGCUCGUGAUGGGGAUUGACGGUUGCAAUUUUCCGUCAUGAACGAGGAAUACCUUGUAAGCGCGGGUCAUCAUCCCGCGCUGAAUACGUCCCUGCCCUUUGUACACACCGCCCGUCGCUCCUACCGAUUGAGUGGUCCGGUGAGGCUUUGGGAUCUGAGCGGAAAGAGCGUUUCGCUGUUUCUGCCGGGAAAACUCAGUCGAACCUUAUCAUUUAGAGGAAGGAGAAGUCGUAACA